Molecule: ribosomal RNA, 382 nt
Filed under: uncultured eukaryote
Lineage: Eukaryota
Description: partial 18S ribosomal RNA
Rfam family: Eukaryotic small subunit ribosomal RNA
Source: RNAcentral
UGUAAGCGUAUACCAAAGUUGUUGCAGUUAAAACGCUCGUAGUCGGACUUUGGCAGUUCCGGAUGUGUGCACGUCGUGUGCGCACUUCGCGGGGAUUGCUUUUGUGGUCUUGCGUAGGAUGAGGCACUUUUAUUAGUGAACGUCCUCACGCAACCACUUUUUACUGUGAGAAAAUCAGAGUGCUCAAAGCAGGCAUUUGCCGUGAAUGUAUUAGCAUGGAAUAAUAGAAUAGGACUUGGUUCUAUUUUGUUGGUUUGUUGGGACUGAGUAAUGAUUAAGAGGGACAGUUGGGGGCAUUUGUAUUUCGGUGCUAGAGGUGAAAUUCUUAGAUUACCGAAAGACAAACUGCUGCGAAAGCGUCUGCCAGGGAUGUUUUCAUUGA